This 294-nucleotide ribosomal RNA is filed under the name uncultured microorganism. RNAcentral's name for it is "partial 16S ribosomal RNA". It matches the Rfam family "Bacterial small subunit ribosomal RNA", at positions 505 to 796 of the family's 1533-position model. The record is from RNAcentral.
GUGCCAGCAGCCGCGGUAAUACGUAGAGUGGCAAGCGUUGUCCGGAAUUAUUGGGCGUAAAGCGCGCGCAGGUGGUUUCUUAAGUCUGAUGUGAAAGCCCACGGCUCAACCGUGGAGGGUCAUUGGAAACUGGGGAACUUGAGUGCAGAAGAGGAAAGUGGAAUUCCAAGUGUAGCGGUGAAAUGCGUAGAUAUUUGGAGGAACACCAGUGGCGAAGGCGACUUUCCUGGUCUGUAACUGACACUGAGGCGCGAAAGCGUGGGGAGCAAACAGGAUUAGAUACCCUGGUAGUCC